This 384-nucleotide ribosomal RNA is filed under the name uncultured prokaryote. RNAcentral describes it as "bacterial SSU rRNA". It matches the Rfam family "Archaeal small subunit ribosomal RNA", at positions 341 to 725 of the family's 1478-position model. The record is from RNAcentral.
GCGAAAACUUUACAAUGCUGGCAACAGCGAUAAGGGAACCUCGAGUGCCAGGUUACAAAUCUGGCUGUCGAGAUGCCUAAAAAGCAUUUCAUAGCAAGGGCCGGGCAAGACCGGUGCCAGCCGCCGCGGUAACACCGGCGGCUCGAGUGGUAACCGUUAUUAUUGGGUCUAAAGGGUCUGUAGCCGGCCGGAUAAGUCUCUUGAGAAAUCUGGCAGCUUAACUGUCAGGCUUUCAGGAGGUACUGUCUGGCUCGAGGCCGGGAGAGGUGAGAGGUACUUCAGGGGUAGGGGUGAAAUCCUGUAAUCCUUGGAGGACCACCAGUGGCGAAGGCGGCUCACCAGAACGGACCUGACGGGAAGGGACGAAAGCUAGGGGCACGAACC